CACGUAAUAAAACUCAUCAAGUACAACAACUUUUCUACAUAUAUAACGUUUUGCAAAAUCCUUAUUUUUAUUUCCACUGUUUUCCUCAUUUAUUUUGUGGAAACGAGCCGGAGAGAUCAUAUUUUGUAUAUAAACAUCGAUUCGGACUUUAUACGUCAAUCACUUCGAGAUGAAGUUCUUCGAAAUUGUGUUAUUUUUGUUCUUACUUGUUGCUGCAAAUUUUGGAGAAGAAUUAGAGCCAGACUGGUCAGAACAAGAGGUAGAAGGUUUUUCCCAACGAAGUCAACCACCACGUAAUGGCCAGUAUUGUGAUUGGUGGUGGAAUGGUGGAACUUGUUAUUAAAUAUGUUUAUAAUUGAUUAAGGAAAUAAUUAAUUGUUGUCUUCAUAAUUAAAGCAGUUGUAAAAGA
Tribolium castaneum (red flour beetle) is the source of this 409-nucleotide long non-coding RNA. RefSeq lists it as uncharacterized. NCBI's taxonomy places the organism in Eukaryota, Metazoa, Arthropoda, Insecta, Coleoptera, Tenebrionidae. The transcript is spliced from 3 exons. The record is from RefSeq and is a predicted model, not a curated record.